This is a long non-coding RNA of Bos grunniens (domestic yak), 2452 nucleotides long. Lineage: Eukaryota; Metazoa; Chordata; Mammalia; Artiodactyla; Bovidae. The record is from Ensembl.
UGAACUAUCACUAUGAAUUGCUGUAUUAACAAUGUAUAAUCUCAUUUCAGGCAUAUUCAGAAGCAAAGUUUACAAACAUUUAUCAUAAAAUAUUAAUAGUAAGUAGCAAGAAAAAUAAAAUUUUGUUAAUCCGGAACUAUCUUGCAAUAUUAAUAAGAAUAUUUAGGGCUGAAAGCUAUUGGUACAAACUGGAAUGAUGAAAUACAUCUUUACCAAAUGCAGAUGCAUUUUUUUGUAUCACAUAUAUCUCCUCUAAUUUUUAUUAGCAGUGCCUUGAGUUGGGAGAAAUUUUAACACCUAGAUGUACCAUGUAAAAGUAAUAACUAUAUAAUUUUUGAAAACUGUUUCAGUUUAAAUGGAAGCAUUCCUUAGCUGUAUAAUGAUUCUUAGCAUCUUCCUUUUAAAUGUAGUUCUCAAAAAGGAUAAAUACAUUAAACUCUGAAAAGUUUUGAUAUAUUUUCUGGCACAUCUGCAAUUGGUUAUUAUAAACUUUAAAUACUUAGUCAUUUCUUUCUUAAUACAUAAAUGAAUUUAUAUAUACUCUUCCUAAAGUUCUGGAAAGACUUAGGAAUAGAAAGUCCUAGGAACUUUUAAAGAGUAGGAGAACUGUAUUCUUUUUCUCCCAAAACAAAAAUUCAACUCUUCUACAAAAUUCACAGGUACAUAAACAUACUAUGUAAAGCAAAAUGGAACAUCAAGAGGGAUGCAGGGUGUGGGUUCCUAGAACUCUUCCUGUUCCCUCUUGGUCCCCACACGGAACCUCAGGAUCUGGACCACUCAUCUCCGUAACCUUUGACCCUGUCACCUGUUCAUUUCCAUCCUCACAACAGAACAGCUCCUUUGCUGCUCACUCCACACAUAUCUUCUCGGUCCACACUCACUCCACCACCAGUUGCCCCACCAUCCUAAAAAUGGUCAUUCCCUCAGUUCUGAUGGUCUCAGCUAGACAGUUUGGAAAGGAAUAGUUUAAGCACACCCUGGCUCAGUUUUAAAUGAGUGACAGACUUGCCUUAUGCUUCUUGGAUUUCAAAAUUUGCAUUUUAGGCUCAAUAUUUAGCUUACAAGAUUUCAAAUUAUGUACCAAAGUGAUAUGUCUUAGGCGGUACAAAUGAAAGAGUUGUAUCAAGGAAGGGCUUUGGGGCCCCUGAAGUGAUACACAUAGAAUAUUGUUUCUGUGUGACUUGAGUCAAAAUCCUCCUGAGGAAACCCAGAUGGACCUGCAUCCCUGAGCCUGCUCCAGGACCAACCCAGAGCUCCUAAUCCAACAUGUCAAUGUAGUCAUCCUUUCAAUCUCACUUUAAAGUCAAUGUGGAACCCAGGUACUAUGUGUAUCUUACAUGUCUGGUAAGAUUUUCCUUUAAUUUCUUCCCCUCACAUUUUUUGGCCGUGAUGAGCACAGGUGGGCAGGUCUUUGUUUCCUUGGCAACCAGACAAAGCCUUGGCUGGUCACCUGCAGUGUGAUGUGAAAGGCACGAUGAGGGAGUCAUGGGCUAGCCCUCGAGGAGGGUUAGGGGUGCAGAGCGAGCCAAGUGGCGGACGGCAGUCCAGGCAAGCAGCCCUCCUCUGCCCCAUGUCCUCAGACUCAGAGCACAGGUGUGGGCUGUACCUCUCCCCUUUACAAAGCAAAGUCUAAGCAGAAUACAAGCUAAAAAUCAGGCAGGCUUUUCUCAGUUCAUCACCCAGUCUCUAUCAGAAAUGGCGUUCCCCACCCAUCCCACCAUAGAGAUCCAGAGAAGGCAGGAGGCUGGCUAUCUCUCAAGGAGAAAGGGGUAAUGAUAACAAUGACCAAUAUUUCAACCAGCAGUUAGUGCUCACCAUAUAUGAGGCACCAUCAAAGCGCCCUGUACAUACUAAUACAUUUAAUGCUCUCAACAAACCCAGAGUUAAAUAUUAUUAAUAUUCUAGUGUUACAGAUGAGGAAACUGCAGCCCAAAGUUACAGAGCUUGGGAAAGCCAGGAUUUGAACAACUGGAUUCCACGCUUCUACCCAUUAUGAACACUGCCUCCUUUGGCAUGAGUGUCCAUGGAGAAGCAGCUGGUCUGGACUGGUCCCUGGACUCCUGGUGCUGGCAUUCCCGAGGCCAUCAUGCCCACACCCAGUGCUGAAAUCUGUAGUCAUAGUCAGCUGCCUCUACUUGCAAUGAUCCCACUCAGAGGCGCCUCUUUGUUUCUGCGAAUGCUCCCUGCGGUCCCUGCAGACCAAGUGCAAUCUGUGGGGUCCAGGCCCUACCAGGGGCUGACCUUCUAGACGUUGUCUCCACCAGUGGUGCACCAUCACCCUGGCACCAUGUUGACCUGCAGUGUGCUUAGAGCUUCUCCUGAAGAUUGAACCCCUUCCUUUCAUCUGCGUAUCCUCAGUGGCUAUGACAGUUCCGCACUGUUUUGAAGUUACGAUGCUCUGCAUAUUUCAGCUUCAGUAACAAACGAGGCUGAGAUGGUUUUGAAAUUACUC